AGUUAAAAUCCUUUGAAAGGAACUAUGUUUUGAAAGCAUUUAAAAGGAGUUCAAUUCUCCUAUUAACUU
RNAcentral lists this transfer RNA (69 nucleotides) under Therea regularis. RNAcentral describes it as "tRNA-Ser". Lineage: Eukaryota; Metazoa; Arthropoda; Insecta; Blattodea; Corydiidae. The record is from RNAcentral.